RNAcentral lists this ribosomal RNA (452 nucleotides) under Chromobacterium violaceum. Its description in RNAcentral is "bacterial SSU rRNA". It matches the Rfam family "Bacterial small subunit ribosomal RNA", at positions 62 to 515 of the family's 1533-position model. Lineage: Bacteria; Pseudomonadati; Pseudomonadota; Betaproteobacteria; Neisseriales; Chromobacteriaceae. The record is from RNAcentral.
UCGACGGUAACAAGGGUGCUUGCACCGCUGCCGAAGUGGCGAACGGGUGAGUAAUGCGUCGGAAUGUACCGUGUAUGGGGGAUAGCUCGGCGAUGCCGGAUUAAUACCGCAUACGCCCUGAGGGGGAAGCGGGGGAUCGAAGACCUCGCGUUAUACGAGCAGCCGACGUCUGAUUAGCUAGUUGGUGAGGUAAGAGCUCACCAAGGCGACGAUCAGUAGCGGGUCUGAGAGGAUGAUCCGCCACACUGGGACUGAGACACGGCCCAGACUCCUACGGGAGGCAGCAGUGGGGAAUUUUGGACAAUGGGGCAACCCUGAUCCAGCCAUGCCGCGUGUCUGAAGAAGGCCUUCGGGUUGUAAAGGACUUUUGUCAGGAAGAAAUCCCGCUGUUAAUACCCGGCGGGGAUGACAGUACCUGAAGAAUAAGCACCGGCUAACUACGUGCCAGCAGC